GCGUUCGUGGUAUAACGGUAACACACUCGGCCUGUAUUCGAGAGGUCCAGGUUUCAGUCCUCGCUAGGGCA
Molecule: transfer RNA, 71 nt
Filed under: Stegodyphus mimosarum
Lineage: Eukaryota; Metazoa; Arthropoda; Arachnida; Araneae; Eresidae
Rfam family: tRNA
About the family: Transfer RNA (tRNA) molecules are approximately 80 nucleotides in length. Their secondary structure includes four short double-helical elements and three loops (D, anti-codon, and T loops).
Source: Rfam by way of RNAcentral